Molecule: long non-coding RNA, 269 nt
Filed under: Malus domestica (apple)
Lineage: Eukaryota; Viridiplantae; Streptophyta; Magnoliopsida; Rosales; Rosaceae
Description: long non-coding RNA (MDOM_LNC000597)
Source: RNAcentral
AUAAAUCUCUAUAAAGUUCCUUAUAUAGACAAAAAUAAACCUAGUCAACAACUUGACUUAAUAUCUCUCCCUCUCCACUUUAAAUGGCCGGCCCCUUUGUGUUGGUUUGGGCUUUGGGCUUUUAUUUAUUUCUAGUCAUCCAAUGCUUGAAUAAAAGCCCAAUGGGUUUAGGCCCAAUGGGCCCAAUUAAACCCAAACGUUUCUUUAAGCCCAAAACGAUCUUUUAUCGCUUUUAUGAUUUCUUUAGACUUUCUAAAUUAAUCACAACA